GUGUGUGUGUGUGUGUGUGUGUGUGUGUGUGUGUGUGAAAAGCAGGUGUCAGGCAAAAGAAGUGUGUGUGCAUUUCUGUUUCAGUGGAUAUGUGACAAAGGCGCCUGACGGACUUUGGGUGUUUUUCAGCUCGAUGAGGUCCAUGGCAGUUCCCUGGGAUUAAAAAGAAAGGAAAUCAUCUUUUCGUGGGGCUAUCAUGGCUGACCAACAAAUGUACCAGCACUUCAUCUCACCUGAGGUCUGCAUGAGGUAGACUCUUGCGGCGUUGGCGGCCCCACCGCAAAGGAACACACCCGUCAACAUUGUGCAAAGCGACGUCAGGGAGGACGCCAUCGCCUCUGCGUCUGUUCCAGCUGUGUAGAUGGUGUCUAUUACUCUUCCCAGAAGAAACGGAGCUGACAUGGUGACAGCACUGGAAAUGGUGAGAAAGCCCCCAGCAGCUGAUAAAAGAGGGAAUAUGCAACAGAGUAUUAAGAGGGGACAUUUGAAAGGAUAAUGAAGAUUAUUACAUUGGUUCAAACGGCUGAUGACAACAUGGAGACUAAACUCGCCUCAUAAAUCUGUGGCAUGUACAAUAUUCAUUUACCAUACCAACGCACUCAUAUGUUACUAUAUGUAAUGUAUUAUAUUUUUUCACAUCCGCUGCUAUAUUACUUUAGAUCAUUGGUUCUCAAAUGGUGGUACGCGUACCCCUGGGGGUACUUGAAGGUAUGCCAAGGGGUAAGUGAGAUUUUAUAAAAAAUAUUCUAAACAUAGCAACAAUUCAAAAAUAUAUUUAUUGAAUAAUACUUCAACAAAAUAUGAAUGUAAGUUCAUAAACUGGGAAAAGAAAUGCAACAAUCAAAUUCAGUGUUGACAGCUAGAUUUUUUGUGGACAUGUUCCAUAAAUAUUGUUGUUAAAGAUUUCUUUUUUGUGAAGAAAUGUUUAAAAUUAAUUUCAUGAAUCCAGAUGGAUCUCUAUUACAAUCCCCAAAGAGGGCACCUUAAGUUGAUGAUUACUUCUAUGUGUAGAAAUCUUUAUUUAUAAUUGAAUCACUUGUUUAUUUUUCAACAAGUUUUUAGUUCUUUUUUAUAUCUUUUUUUCCAAAUAGUUCAAGAAAGACCAAUACAAAUGAGCAAUAUUUUGCACUGUUAUACAAUUUAAUAAAACAGAAACUGAUGACAUAGAGCUGUAUUUUAUUUCUUUAUCUCUUUUUUUCAACCUAAAAUGCUUUGCUCUGAUUAGGGGGUACUUGCUGUUCUGAAUGUCACCAUGCCAUAUAACGUCAAUUAAUACAGGGGUAACUUAAAAGUAUCCCAACUUAAGCGUGUUUUUAGAUAAGACCUGUCUCGAGUCUCGGCUAAUUGUUGCAAGCAAAAAUUGUACUUACAAGCAUCCCAACCAUUAGUUGGCAUAGCAAAUGUCGCAGUAAACCCCUUAAAAUCAGCCCAAAAUAUCUUGUCUUACUUGCUAUCAUUAGCAUAUACACGUGAUGGACAUACUGUAACUUUGUUUUCCAACUAUAGGAAGGAAGGAAGUGAGUAUGAAAGACAGUGCUGAGAAGAAGAAGGAAAUUAUAUUCAUUUAAUUAAAGAAAUAAAUCAUUAAAAACAUGACCAAGUAUGUCAACAAUUUGGCACAGUAAUAUGGGCAUAUCACUGCUAGUCUGCACCAUACUGAAGCAGGAUGAGACUAACGCCAGCCAAGAAUGUUGAAAUAAUAUCUAAACGGCAGACAUUUAUCCAUGGAAAUAUGGAAAAGCUGCUGAUGGUGUAUUUGACAGAGUAUCAAAGGAGAAAUCUUAAAAUAAAUUCUGUACAUUACGUUACUUGUUAAAACUAUUGUAGUGAGUAGUACACAUAUUAUUGCAUUAUGUUCAUACAAUAUUUAUUAUAUACAAGUAGUUUUUCUUUUUACUGCAAAAAUUGGUAAUGUUUAGGGGCCAAGCACCAAUUAAAGGUAAAGUAACAACGAUAGUCACACACACUAGUUGUGGUGAAAUUAUCCUCUUCAUUUGACCCAUCCCCAUGUUCACCCCCUGGGAGGUGAGGGGAGCAGUGAGCAGUAGCGGUGGCUGCGCUCGGGAAUCAUUUUGGUGAUUUAACCCCCAAUUCCAACCCUUGAUGCUGAGUGCCAAGCAGGGAGGCAAUUGGUCCCAUAUGUAUAGUCUUUGGUAUGACUUGGCCAACUCACGACCUACAGUUUUAAGGCGGACACUCUAACCACAAGGACACUGAGCAGGUUUAAUUAUUAAAAAUAUGUCCAACCAUUUCACUGGGAGCUGUUGAUUUUCUUACCUACUUUUUAUGUGUUUUUGGGAUCUGCAUGAAUCACGAAAAUUUUAAAUCAAUC
Molecule: long non-coding RNA, 2332 nt
Organism: Nerophis ophidion (straightnose pipefish)
Lineage: Eukaryota; Metazoa; Chordata; Actinopteri; Syngnathiformes; Syngnathidae
Exons: 3
Source: RefSeq, a predicted model, not a curated record